AAUUUUACACUAUGAUUUUGCAGAUAUUUUCGCACUCGCUCCCCAUCAUUCAUUCUCACGGCAACAUCCCCAAGACGCCUGCUGGGGACGGUCAUGCCUCAGGCCGAGUGGGGCACAUGGAGGCAGGAGCAAGCUGCCAGCACCGUGUGGCGUGGCUCACGUCACUUCCACUCCUCUUCUCACACGUGCGAAGACUGGAGCACAAAAAGGCAAAGACGUGACAUUCCUAGGAAAGCCAGAACUCAUAGAGCGGGAAAAGGAACAAGGUCCACAUAUCAGGCUCCCAGAUUGUUCUGUUUUUUUGUGCACAUACACUAUCCAAACCCUACUCCUUACUGAUAACCUAACAUUCCAUCCCCUAAAAUCACACCCGGCACUUGAUCGCAUGCGCACGUGAACAGCGUCUCCUGGAAUGGCGUUCAAUACAAAAGCACAGUUUGGACUUUUGGAAGGAAGAAGUAAUAUCUCGCAGACAUCUCUGGGCUGGUGAGGGGUUGGAAUCACUCUCCCACGAACCAAGGAUCCUUACAAGAGACAGAGACGGUAAGGGGCCUGAGAGGAGGUGCUUACGUCGCCCAUGAGUGACAACCGCCGGGCCUGGCUUCCAAAAGCCCGUCGCAGAACAUCCUAAGGCAAAAACCUCUGACUGGAAGGCGCCAUGCUUGUGCUGGAAGUCGGUCAACGGCUCGCGGCAUCAGUGCGAUCCCCGGUGGUGGGGACAGGAGACACCAGGGGUGGCAUGCCUUCCCCCCCCCACCCCCCACCCCCGCAAACGGAGUCAGGGCAGCCACAACACACAAGCAGUAAAAACCUGGGGCUACACCCCUCGGACUCUUUCUCAUCCCAUUUUCUCCAUUUCUGCCACAAUACAAGCCAACUCAGAUC
Molecule: long non-coding RNA, 885 nt
Filed under: Equus caballus (horse)
Lineage: Eukaryota; Metazoa; Chordata; Mammalia; Perissodactyla; Equidae
Description: lncRNA (ENSECAG00000060052.1)
Source: RNAcentral